GACGAACGCUGGCGGCGUGUUUAACACAUGCAAGUCGAACGGUGAAGCCCUUCGGGGUGGAUCAGUGGCGAACGGGUGAGUAACACGUGAGCAACCUGCCCCUGGCUCUGGGACAACCACUGGAAACGGUGGCUAAUACCGGAUACGACCCGCCUCGGCAUCGAGUGUGGGUGGAAAGUUUUUCGGCUGGGGAUGGGCUCGCGGCCUAUCAGCUUGUUGGUGAGGUGAAGGCUCACCAAGGCGACGACGGGUAGCCGGCCUGAGAGGGCGACCGGCCACACUGGGACUGAGACACGGCCCAGACUCCUACGGGAGGCAGCAGUGGGGAAUAUUGCACGAUGGGCGAAAGCCUGAUGCAGCGACGCCGCGUGAGGGAUGACGGCCUUCGGGUUGUAAACCUCUUUCAGCUCCGAAGAAGCGAAAGUGACGGUAGGAGCAGAAGAAGCACCGGCUAACUACGUG
This 462-nucleotide ribosomal RNA is filed under the name uncultured bacterium. Its description in RNAcentral is "partial 16S ribosomal RNA". It matches the Rfam family "Bacterial small subunit ribosomal RNA", at positions 28 to 507 of the family's 1533-position model. The record is from RNAcentral.